RNAcentral lists this ribosomal RNA (584 nucleotides) under Trichoderma virens. RNAcentral describes it as "eukaryotic LSU rRNA". The stretch from base 216 to 369 matches the Rfam family "5.8S ribosomal RNA". Lineage: Eukaryota; Fungi; Ascomycota; Sordariomycetes; Hypocreales; Hypocreaceae. The record is from RNAcentral.
GCGGAGGGAUCAUUACCGAGUUUACAACUCCCAAACCCAAUGUGAACGUUACCAAACUGUUGCCUCGGCGGGAUCUCUGCCCCGGGUGCGUCGCAGCCCCGGACCAAGGCGCCCGCCGGAGGACCAACCAAAACUCUUAUUGUAUACCCCCUCGCGGGUUUUUUACUAUCUGAGCCAUCUCGGCGCCCCUCGUGGGCGUUUCGAAAAUGAAUCAAAACUUUCAACAACGGAUCUCUUGGUUCUGGCAUCGAUGAAGAACGCAGCGAAAUGCGAUAAGUAAUGUGAAUUGCAGAAUUCAGUGAAUCAUCGAAUCUUUGAACGCACAUUGCGCCCGCCAGUAUUCUGGCGGGCAUGCCUGUCCGAGCGUCAUUUCAACCCUCGAACCCCUCCGGGGGGUCGGCGUUGGGGAUCGGCCCUUUACGGGGCCGGCCCCGAAAUACAGUGGCGGUCUCGCCGCAGCCUCUCCUGCGCAGUAGUUUGCACACUCGCAUCGGGAGCGCGGCGCGUCCACAGCCGUUAAACACCCCAAACUUCUGAAAUGUUGACCUCGGAUCAGGUAGGAAUACCCGCUGAACUUAAGCAUA